RNAcentral lists this transfer RNA (81 nucleotides) under Sphaerodactylus townsendi. Its description in RNAcentral is "tRNA-Asn". The record is from RNAcentral. Lineage: Eukaryota; Metazoa; Chordata; Lepidosauria; Squamata; Sphaerodactylidae.
GUCUGCAUGGCAUAACUGGUUAGCAUGUUUAAUUGUUAACUGAAAGGUUGGUGGUUCGAUCCCACCCAGGAAUGCGGUGCA